UCACUAUUUUUUCUCUUAACAGAUUACAACACAUUGAUGAAGUAGUAAGGGCUGCACGACUUUCGGGGUAUUUGGACAUGAGAAUGGUAUUAAAGAGCCAGCAGCUAUCAUCAUCUUAAACACUGUUUGGAUUUCGGACAAUACUUCAUUGAAUUUACUUUUUUUUUUCCACAACUUUAUUCUGCCUUUUUUUGAUAGAGAUGGGCUACUUUACCUGGAGAACCUCUUCCUGUUGAUGACACUGAUGUUGAUGACUGGCUUCCAAGAUUUUUUGUCCUUCACUGUUGGAUUUCAGACAAUACUUCAUUGAAUUUACAUUUUUUGUUCCACAAUUUUAUUCUUCCUUUUUUCGAUAGAGAUGGGCAACUUUACCCGGAGAACCUCUUCCAGUUGAUGACA
This 399-nucleotide long non-coding RNA is filed under the name Nicotiana benthamiana. RNAcentral's name for it is "long non-coding RNA (NBEN_LNC029549)". The record is from RNAcentral. Lineage: Eukaryota; Viridiplantae; Streptophyta; Magnoliopsida; Solanales; Solanaceae.